GGGUUGUGAGGUUAAGCGACUAAGCGUACACGGUGGAUGCCCUGGCAGUCAGAGGCGAUGAAGGACGUGCUAAUCUGCGAUAAGCGUCGGUAAGGUGAUAUGAACCGUUAUAACCGGCGAUUUCCGAAUGGGGAAACCCAGUGUGUUUCGACACACUAUCAUUAACUGAAUCCAUAGGUUAAUGAGGCGAACCGGGGGAACUGAAACAUCUAAGUACCCCGAGGAAAAGAAAUCAACCGAGAUUCCCCCAGUAGCGGCGAGCGAACGGGGAGCAGCCCAGAGCCUGAAUCAGUGUGUGUGUUAGUGGAAGCGUCUGGAAAGGCGCGCGAUACAGGGUGACAGCCCCGUACACAAAAAUGCACAUGCUGUGAGCUCGAUGAGUAGGGCGGGACACGUGGUAUCCUGUCUGAAUAUGGGGGGACCAUCCUCCAAGGCUAAAUACUCCUGACUGACCGAUAGUGAACCAGUACCGUGAGGGAAAGGCGAAAAGAACCCCGGCGAGGGGAGUGAAAAAGAACCUGAAACCGUGUACGUACAAGCAGUGGGAGCACGCUUAGGCGUGUGACUGCGUACCUUUUGUAUAAUGGGUCAGCGACUUAUAUUCUGUAGCAAGGUUAACCGAAUAGGGGAGCCGAAGGGAAACCGAGUCUUAACUGGGCGUUAAGUUGCAGGGUAUAGACCCGAAACCCGGUGAUCUAGCCAUGGGCAGGUUGAAGGUUGGGUAACACUAACUGGAGGACCGAACCGACUAAUGUUGAAAAAUUAGCGGAUGACUUGUGGCUGGGGGUGAAAGGCCAAUCAAACCGGGAGAUAGCUGGUUCUCCCCGAAAGCUAUUUAGGUAGCGCCUCGUGAAUUCAUCUCCGGGGGUAGAGCACUGUUUCGGCAAGGGGGUCAUCCCGACUUACCAACCCGAUGCAAACUGCGAAUACCGGAGAAUGUUAUCACGGGAGACACACGGCGGGUGCUAACGUCCGUCGUGAAGAGGGAAACAACCCAGACCGCCAGCUAAGGUCCCAAAGUCAUGGUUAAGUGGGAAACGAUGUGGGAAGGCCCAGACAGCCAGGAUGUUGGCUUAGAAGCAGCCAUCAUUUAAAGAAAGCGUAAUAGCUCACUGGUCGAGUCGGCCUGCGCGGAAGAUGUAACGGGGCUAAACCAUGCACCGAAGCUGCGGCAGCGACACUAUGUGUUGUUGGGUAGGGGAGCGUUCUGUAAGCCUGUGAAGGUGUGCUGUGAGGCAUGCUGGAGGUAUCAGAAGUGCGAAUGCUGACAUAAGUAACGAUAAAGCGGGUGAAAAGCCCGCUCGCCGGAAGACCAAGGGUUCCUGUCCAACGUUAAUCGGGGCAGGGUGAGUCGACCCCUAAGGCGAGGCCGAAAGGCGUAGUCGAUGGGAAACAGGUUAAUAUUCCUGUACUUGGUGUUACUGCGAAGGGGGGACGGAGAAGGCUAUGUUGGCCGGGCGACGGUUGUCCCGGUUUAAGCGUGUAGGCUGGUUUUCCAGGCAAAUCCGGAAAAUCAAGGCUGAGGCGUGAUGACGAGGCACUACGGUGCUGAAGCAACAAAUGCCCUGCUUCCAGGAAAAGCCUCUAAGCAUCAGGUAACAUCAAAUCGUACCCCAAACCGACACAGGUGGUCAGGUAGAGAAUACCAAGGCGCUUGAGAGAACUCGGGUGAAGGAACUAGGCAAAAUGGUGCCGUAACUUCGGGAGAAGGCACGCUGAUAUGUAGGUGAAGUCCCUCGCGGAUGGAGCUGAAAUCAGUCGAAGAUACCAGCUGGCUGCAACUGUUUAUUAAAAACACAGCACUGUGCAAACACGAAAGUGGACGUAUACGGUGUGACGCCUGCCCGGUGCCGGAAGGUUAAUUGAUGGGGUUAGCCGCAAGGCGAAGCUCUUGAUCGAAGCCCCGGUAAACGGCGGCCGUAACUAUAACGGUCCUAAGGUAGCGAAAUUCCUUGUCGGGUAAGUUCCGACCUGCACGAAUGGCGUAAUGAUGGCCAGGCUGUCUCCACCCGAGACUCAGUGAAAUUGAACUCGCUGUGAAGAUGCAGUGUACCCGCGGCAAGACGGAAAGACCCCGUGAACCUUUACUAUAGCUUGACACUGAACAUUGAGCCUUGAUGUGUAGGAUAGGUGGGAGGCUUAGAAGUGUGGACGCCAGUCUGCAUGGAGCCGACCUUGAAAUACCACCCUUUAAUGUUUGAUGUUCUAACGUUGACCCGUAAUCCGGGUUGCGGACAGUGUCUGGUGGGUAGUUUGACUGGGGCGGUCUCCUCCUAAAGAGUAACGGAGGAGCACGAAGGUUGGCUAAUCCUGGUCGGACAUCAGGAGGUUAGUGCAAUGGCAUAAGCCAGCUUGACUGCGAGCGUGACGGCGCGAGCAGGUGCGAAAGCAGGUCAUAGUGAUCCGGUGGUUCUGAAUGGAAGGGCCAUCGCUCAACGGAUAAAAGGUACUCCGGGGAUAACAGGCUGAUACCGCCCAAGAGUUCAUAUCGACGGCGGUGUUUGGCACCUCGAUGUCGGCUCAUCACAUCCUGGGGCUGAAGUAGGUCCCAAGGGUAUGGCUGUUCGCCAUUUAAAGUGGUACGCGAGCUGGGUUUAGAACGUCGUGAGACAGUUCGGUCCCUAUCUGCCGUGGGCG
This 2637-nucleotide ribosomal RNA is filed under the name Escherichia coli. RNAcentral describes it as "partial 23S ribosomal RNA". It matches the Rfam family "Bacterial large subunit ribosomal RNA". Lineage: Bacteria; Pseudomonadati; Pseudomonadota; Gammaproteobacteria; Enterobacterales; Enterobacteriaceae. The record is from RNAcentral.